This 253-nucleotide ribosomal RNA is filed under the name uncultured bacterium. RNAcentral's name for it is "partial 16S ribosomal RNA". It matches the Rfam family "Bacterial small subunit ribosomal RNA", at positions 524 to 776 of the family's 1533-position model. The record is from RNAcentral.
UACGGAGGGUGCUAGCGUUGUUCGGAAUUACUGGGCGUAAAGAGCGCGUAGGCGGCUUAUCAAGUUGGGAGUGAAAUCCCUGGGCUUAACCCAGGAAUUGCUUUCAAAACUGGUAGGCUAGAGAAUGGUAGAGGAUGGCGGAAUUCCUAGUGUAGAGGUGAAAUUCGUAGAUAUUAGGAGGAACACCGGUGGCGAAGGCGGCCAUCUGGGCCAUUUCUGACGCUGUGGCGCGAAAGCGUGGGGAGCAAACAGG